Molecule: ribosomal RNA, 208 nt
Filed under: uncultured bacterium
Lineage: Bacteria
Description: partial 16S ribosomal RNA
Rfam family: Bacterial small subunit ribosomal RNA
Source: RNAcentral
UCUCAGUUCGGAUCGGAGUCUGCAACCCGACUCCGUGAAGCUGGAUUCGCUAGUAAUCGCGCAUCAGCCAUGGCGCGGUGAAUACGUUCCCGGGGCCUUGUACACACGCCCCGUCAGGCCAUGGGAGCCGGGGGUGCUUGAAGUGCGUCGCCGCAAGGCGCGCCCUAGAGCAAAACCGGUGACUGGGGCUAAGUCGUAACAAGGUAAC